Molecule: long non-coding RNA, 264 nt
Organism: Glycine soja
Lineage: Eukaryota; Viridiplantae; Streptophyta; Magnoliopsida; Fabales; Fabaceae
Exons: 2
Source: RefSeq, a predicted model, not a curated record
AAUUUUUGUGGCAAAUUCAUAUUUCAAACUCUUUCUCUCUGGUUCUAAGACGCCUUAAGCUGGCAUGUAGGAUUAAUGUUUGAAAGCUCAUGAAGAAAUAACAAUGUUCAAAGGUGAGUUAAAGUAAUGUUUGAACACUGUCCUUAAGGAAUUAUUUACUUCCACAGACAGAAUGAAGACCACAUGAACCUUAUCCCUUUUGGUUACACUGGCCAGACACCAGAAAUUUUCAUUAUAUAAAUAUUCCCAAGUGGAAUUUUUCUA